AGAAACGUGAGAGCCAGCUGAAGCUCCAAGCCCUGGAGAAGGAGAUCAUCUCAGCUCAGGAGAUCAGACAGCAUCUGGAGAAAACUGUUGCCCAGCAGACAGACAAAUACAGCCAAGAGAUGCAGCAGCUCCAGUCUGACAUUAAACCGCAAAAAAGGUUGGGGACCACUGCUUUAGACAACAACUGUCUUUGAUGGAGAUCUGCCACCGAGCAACAGAGAAGAACAGGAAAUCCAUCGGUUCCUCUCAUCACAGCUCACUGAUUUAAAUCCUUCGUCUUGGACAGAGAUUGCACAGUGACCAUCAGAAGCACGCUGGUCGAUCCAGGAGCUGAGGAAAACAACACAAUUUGCUCAAGGCUGAUGGACACUGGUACAUUGUAAUUGGUUUGUUCCAGAUUUGGAUAAUACUUGGAAUUUAUAUCGAUUCAAAGUGUCUCUUAUCUAUUAGUCAGAUUCCUUCCAUCCAGCCACUUCCAUUUCCCAUCUUCAACUCUCAGACCAAUCCAGUAUCUAUUGUUAUCAUCAUUUUUCCAACUCUUUUCACUGACAGUUUUCUGAGGACAGAGAGAAAGUUUCCAGAAAUAUUUAAACACUUUGCUCUAAGAAAGAUUUCAAUCUAAAGGAAAUAUAUUUUUAUUUCAUGAAGUCUAUAAUAAAAACUCCCACAGUUUU
Molecule: long non-coding RNA, 674 nt
Organism: Oreochromis niloticus (Nile tilapia)
Lineage: Eukaryota; Metazoa; Chordata; Actinopteri; Cichliformes; Cichlidae
Exons: 3
Source: RefSeq, a predicted model, not a curated record